RNAcentral lists this transfer RNA (73 nucleotides) under Trichonephila clavata. It matches the Rfam family "tRNA". Rfam says of the family: Transfer RNA (tRNA) molecules are approximately 80 nucleotides in length. Their secondary structure includes four short double-helical elements and three loops (D, anti-codon, and T loops). Further hydrogen bonds mediate the characteristic L-shaped molecular structure. tRNAs have two regions of fundamental functional importance: the anti-codon, which is responsible for specific mRNA codon recognition, and the 3' end, to which the tRNAs corresponding amino acid is attached (by aminoacyl-tRNA synthetases). tRNAs cope with the degeneracy of the genetic code in two manners: having more than one tRNA (with a specific anti-codon) for a particular amino acid; and 'wobble' base-pairing, i.e. permitting non-standard base-pairing at the 3rd anti-codon position. Lineage: Eukaryota; Metazoa; Arthropoda; Arachnida; Araneae; Nephilidae. The record is from Rfam by way of RNAcentral.
GUCCCGCUAGCGCAAUGGAUAGCGCAUUGGACUUCUAAUCCAAAAGUCGUGGAUUCGAAUUCCAUCUGGGAUA